UGAGAGUGCAAAUGAUACUUGUUGUAUCUCCAAAUGCUUUAAAAUACAGAUAAGGACGAAUCUAGCCCAGGACUUCCACAGUUUGAUCUAUCCUGAGGGACUGCUGCCCAGCCUUGGAAUAGGCCUCUCCAAUCUAAAAGUUAUCACCGUUGCACCACUCACACAGACAGACCACAGCUCUCUCCAGGGAACCAUACGAGCUUCCCAAGAAUCAAAGGAAACCCAAUGAUUGUCAUAGUCUAAGAGACACACCAAUCCCAGGGAAGUGCUCAAAUAUUCUCAGCCAGAAUGCACAGUGGAGAGAGAGCCAUGGGAACAAGAGGAAAGAUUCUCUUUGCAGUGUUCAUGUUAUGACUACUAAGAAAAUAUCUGCAGUAUCAAAUGUGAUUCAUCUGAGGCAUGCUAACAUCACCACCUGCUACUUGUAACUCUGUUGGUGCCAAUCAUAGGCUGCAACGAGCUUCCAGGUGUGAAAGAAGUGGUGACAACUGAGAACUGUCUGCAGGCCAUAAACUGAUGGUUGGAGAGAUCAAGAGAGAAUCCUGUCUCACGUGCAAGUACAAGAACAACAGUAUAUACCUGGCUAAGUGCACAGCAAGAUUCACUGUCAGAACGUCAAUCUCAAAUUGUUGGCUGUGUCUCAAGGCAGGAAGCUAGGCUGGAUGGACUCUGACAGGAAAUUAGGCAAAACUACUGCUGGUAACAACAGCCCACAGAUUUUACAGCUUUCCUAAACAAGGAUAUUGAGGAAGAGAUACAAAAUUUGGCAAAAGAAAUGAUUUUCUGACAAUUGUUUUCCCACCUCAUACAAGCACAAUUCAACCCUUUUAAAAAAAUUAUGUUGCCUGAUUUCAUUUCCCAUAAGAAAGGGCUCUCAAGGGUCACUUCUUUUGACUUUUUCCAGUAAUAUUUGCACAUACAAGAAAAUCCCAGGAUAAUACAGUCCAGACUGAUAACACACGUUCUACAGUUACACUGGAUUCAUUUUCUCUGAAAAAAAAAAUCACAUUUUCUAUAACUUGUUUCACAAUUUGGCAUUUAAAUUCAGCAGAGUGGAGCUGUGAGAAGCCAAAUUCUUGGAUGAAUUAUACUGAAUUCAUAGGGGUUUCUCAAUAUAUUAUUGUGUAGAGAACUAGGCUGUUGCCAUGAUUUUCAAAACCCUAUAUGCCUGAAAUAGUGCUACGCUUUUAUGCAGUUACUCUAUAGGCUCUGUGUAGAGUUAGGAUCUAAAAUGCUGAAAAAAGGUACCGCAAUCUGAGCUGGUGGUACUGUUGUCUAACCUUUCAGACUUGUACCUCAAACUCCUGACUGGGUUGUGUUUUCAUUGGAACUAUUGUCAAUUUUCAUGUUGUAUAUAUAUAUAUAUAUAUAUAUAUAUAUAACAAGAACAAAGAAACAAACAAACUAAAAACCACAAAUGGGAUUAUCAGGGACUAGGAAGUGAAAAUCACACAAAUCACACACUGGGAAAUUAGGAUUUAGUGUUAGAAGUGGGAUGAGACCCUGAAUGCAUUUCAUUCUGUCAAGCCUCCCAUGAAAAAAGACUCAAGUAUUUAUGAUAUCUUGACUCUAUUUUUUCAGUAUCCUGGUGGUAAAUGUGGUUUAUCAAGGGAAAAACACUGACGUGGCACAGUAACUUAUCUUUCUGUAACUUAGUUAUCAGAAGUUUAUACUAUGCAAAAAUUUGCAAGAGGAACAAUGACUGGAACUUCCCAGGAAGUCUAUAUGCCAGAGAAGAGCCGUUUGACAGGCUGGCAUGUACCUGCACACUGUGUAUUUCUCACUGAGGGAGGUGGUUUUUUUUUGUUUUG
Anas platyrhynchos (mallard) is the source of this 1811-nucleotide long non-coding RNA. RefSeq lists it as uncharacterized. The record is from RefSeq and is a predicted model, not a curated record. NCBI's taxonomy places the organism in Eukaryota, Metazoa, Chordata, Aves, Anseriformes, Anatidae.